Long non-coding RNA from Passer domesticus (house sparrow), 1632 nucleotides. RefSeq lists it as uncharacterized. The transcript is spliced from 3 exons. The record is from RefSeq and is a predicted model, not a curated record. Lineage: Eukaryota; Metazoa; Chordata; Aves; Passeriformes; Passeridae.
ACACUGCCUUCCGUGAGCUUCCUGAAGCCUGCUUGCCUGAAUACUCGGUUUCCCUGUAAGGAUCUGCAGACCAGCAGUAGCAGCAGCUGUUGGUGCAGCCCUAGAGAAGACCCAGCCUACAUCUGCCUCUUCUUCUAACUGAACAACAUUGAAUUGGUUCAAUCUUGCAUCACAGAUCAUGUUUUCUAGAGUUUGGAUAAUUGCUUCUGUUUCUCUGUGAAUAUGAAGUGGCCAUUGUGUUCAUUUAAGUAUCCCACAUUACAGAGACAUUAAUCCAGCCAAGGUCUCACUAGGGCUGGGCAGAACAGAGAACUGGUCUGUGUCUUACUUAGCCUGGUUAUAUUUUCCAGAAUGUUUGGGGCUUUUUUCUUUUUCCCAGCAGCAUGGCAUUAUCAGCUAUAAUAUUAUUUGUUAACCACUUCUGUAGAACUUCGAUUAAGUCAAUUACAUUUAUCUUGGUUGUUAUUUCUCCUUGAAUAUAACAAGUUGAUUCUCUGGGAUAGGUUGAUACAAUUUUUAAGAACAUACCUAUAAUAUAUUGAAAUGGGGCUGGAAUCCAACAUUUCUUCUGAAGUAGUUGCAGUUCCCUUUGCCCUUAAGUUUCUGCACACUUGGUAGUUAUGUUUAUGGACAUCCAUCAGUUCUCCAAUACCAUUUGGAAUGGCUCAUGUUUGACAAGUGUUCCCCAAAUUCAGAGCCAAGGUCUGAGCUUUUGCCCAAGUAUCUGACCUCACUGGGGUGCCCAGGCAGUAGCAGAGUGGCCUGGGCCACAGAUAGCAGGAGUCUGGCACUUCUUUGGGAGAAAUGGAUAGUCUAUUCCUGACAGCUACAGUAGUUUUAAUGAAACACCCCAAGUGUGGGAAUGUAAAGAUGACUAGAAAUCUUGAAGAAUAACAAUUUAGUCUGAAAAUGCUGCUCUCCCAAUGGAAAGAUUGCCAGCAAGGCAAAGAUUUAAAAAAUACAUCUCACCACUCUUAAUAUGAAAGGGUGUUUCAGAUGAAAUGAGAAAAGAUCCAUUCAGAUCCCUUAUAAAUUCUGCUCUGAUAGCAGCUGUUCCUUCCUCUCUGUCAGCGACCUACAGUGCCUACACCAAUUCCUGGUGGACAGAUGCCCAUGCCAGUAAAAUACAGAAGUGCAGCUCUGCUGAAGAUCACAGGUUGAACACACACUCAUGCAGAAAUGACCCUCUUAACCUUAGGGGAUUGUAUAUCACCAAAGCGGUGUCAGGAGAUGUGUACAGCAUCGUAAAGAAACCAAUGCUCUCACUGAAAGAGAGAUCACAAAGCACAGUGCACCCAAUCCAUACUGGAUUUCACCUCUCGCCACCCUGCUCAAAAGUACUUAAUUUGACAUGAAGGACAAAAAAGGAUGGAUUUGAAAAAUGUGUAAGAAUGACUUUCAUUGUUAACAUGCACUCAGUGUAAGAAUUUGACGUGACCUUGGUUUCUCAUUUUUCCCUUGUACAGUGUUUCGUUGCUAAUUCCUCCCUUAAAAGGAGGGUAUUUCUUUUCUUAAAAGAUAAUACUAAUCUUAAGCCUCUUUUUCUAAUGUUAUAAUUGCAAUCAUGCUGAUAUAUUCUCCCAAUCUUUUGCAGCCUACCUCUAAAUUAUUUGUUGAAAAAGUGUUAUCUUU